RNAcentral lists this ribosomal RNA (849 nucleotides) under Alternaria lolii. RNAcentral describes it as "eukaryotic LSU rRNA". It matches the Rfam family "Eukaryotic large subunit ribosomal RNA", at positions 68 to 935 of the family's 3401-position model. The record is from RNAcentral. Lineage: Eukaryota; Fungi; Ascomycota; Dothideomycetes; Pleosporales; Pleosporaceae.
ACAGGGAUUGCCCUAGUAACGGCGAGUGAAGCGGCAACAGCUCAAAUUUGAAAUCUGGCUCUUUUAGAGUCCGAGUUGUAAUUUGCAGAGGGCGCUUUGGCUUUGGCAGCGGUCCAAGUUCCUUGGAACAGGACGUCACAGAGGGUGAGAAUCCCGUACGUGGUCGCUGGCUAUUGCCGUGUAAAGCCCCUUCGACGAGUCGAGUUGUUUGGGAAUGCAGCUCUAAAUGGGAGGUACAUUUCUUCUAAAGCUAAAUAUUGGCCAGAGACCGAUAGCGCACAAGUAGAGUGAUCGAAAGAUGAAAAGCACUUUGGAAAGAGAGUCAAACAGCACGUGAAAUUGUUGAAAGGGAAGCGCUUGCAGCCAGACUUGCUUACAGUUGCUCAUCCGGGCUUUUGCCCGGUGCACUCUUCUGUAGGCAGGCCAGCAUCAGUUCGGGCGGUAGGAUAAAGGUCUCUGUCACGUACCUCCUCUCGGGGAGGCCUUAUAGGGGAGACGACAUACUACCAGCCUGGACUGAGGUCCGCGCAUCUGCUAGGAUGCUGGCGUAAUGGCUGUAAGCGGCCCGUCUUGAAACACGGACCAAGGAGUCUAACAUCUAUGCGAGUGUUUGGGUGUCAAGCCCGAGCGCGUAAUGAAAGUGAACGGAGGUGGGAACCCGCAAGGGUGCACCAUCGACCGAUCCUGAUGUCUUCGGAAGGAUUUGAGUAAGAGCAUGGCUGUUGGGACCCGAAAGAUGGUGAACUAUGCUUGAAUAGGGUGAAGCCAGAGGAAACUCUGGUGGAGGCUCGCAGCGGUUCUGACGUGCAAAUCGAUCGUCAAAUUUGGGCAUAGGGGCGAAAGACUAAU